This 259-nucleotide ribosomal RNA is filed under the name uncultured bacterium. Its description in RNAcentral is "partial 16S ribosomal RNA". It matches the Rfam family "Bacterial small subunit ribosomal RNA", at positions 355 to 630 of the family's 1533-position model. The record is from RNAcentral.
CAAGGAAUAUUGCGCAAUGGACGGAAGUCUGACGCAGCGACGCCGCGGGGAUGAUGAAGGCCUUCGGGUUGUAAAAUCCUUUUCAGGGGGAAGAGCGAGGACGGUACCCCUGGAAUAAGCUUCGGCUAACUACGUGCCAGCAGCCGCGGUAAGACGUAGGACGCGAGCGUUAUCCUGAUUUACUGGGCGUAAAGCGUCUGUAGGCGGAAGUGUAAGUUGGGCGUGAAAGCUCCGGGCUCAACUCGGAGAGGCCGUUCAA